Molecule: unclassified non-coding RNA, 314 nt
Filed under: uncultured fungus
Lineage: Eukaryota; Fungi
Description: partial contains 5.8S ribosomal RNA and internal transcribed spacer 2
Rfam family: 5.8S ribosomal RNA (bases 1-133)
Source: RNAcentral
UGGUUCUGGCAUCGAUGAAGAACGCAGCGAAAUGCGAUAAGUAAUGUGAAUUGCAGAAUUCAGUGAAUCAUCGAAUCUUUGAACGCACAUUGCGCCCCUUGGUAUUCCGAGGGGCAUGCCUGUUCGAGCGUCAUUAUAACCACUCAAGCCUCGGCUUGGUCUUGGGGUUCGCGGUCUCGCGUCCCUUAAAAUCAGUGGCGGUGCCGUCUGGCUCUAAGCGUAGUAAUUCUCUCGCUAUAGGGUCCCGGUGGUUACCUGCCAGAACCCCCCAUAUUUUACCGGUUGACCUCGGAUCAGGUAGGGAUACCCGCUGA